AUGAGGAAAUCGGGCCUCAAAUUCUCACGCCAGUAUUCAUUGGAAUGCGAGGAUCCAUCUGGAGGUGUGAAGAUCUAUUUCCUGCCACCUGCACAGCGACAGGUUUUGAUGGAUUCCUCUGUAACGCUAACAUGUGUAGUGGUUAAUGCACCACUUCACGUCAACGUGACUUGGACACAAGGAAAUACACAUUUGCAGUCUGCAUAUGGGAAAACUUCUGCCACUGAACCUCAGAAAGUGAUCAGUAAAUUAAACAUUUCUGUAUCAGACUGGAACAGUGGUAAAGAAUACUUCUGUAUAGCCAGCCAUGAUGAUAUACCAUCUCCCAUCAGAGAGAAGACUUUUAAGAAGACAGUGGAGCACGUGAAACAACCUUCAGUGUAUCUCCUCCUCCCGUCGGCAGAAGAAUUGUCUGCUCAGCAGUCUGUCACCCUCACCUGCCUGGUGAAGGACUUCGCUCCCAAAGACAUCUUUGUGCAGUGGACUGAGAAUGACCAGGUGAUUGAUUACAGUAACUACAAGAACACUGAUGUGAUGCCAGACAGUGCAGAGCGCAACUACUCCAUGUACAGCAUGUUGUCCAUCUCAGCCGGAGACUGGGACAGAGGAAACUCCUACGCCUGUGUGGUCGGACAUGAAACUUACCCAUCGAAGACUCUGACCAGAUCCGUUAAUAAAUUCAGCGAUUUGCCAAACGAGAUGAUGCUGGAAGGAUUUCAAGAAGUUCAGUGUGACAACCUCUGGCCUACUGCUUCCACCUUCAUCAUCUUCUUCUUUUUUAACAUUUUCUACAGCGCUAUCGUAACUCUUUUUAAGGUAAAAUGA
This is a non-coding RNA of Callorhinchus milii (elephant shark), 825 nucleotides long. The record is from the annotation of a RefSeq genome assembly. Lineage: Eukaryota; Metazoa; Chordata; Chondrichthyes; Chimaeriformes; Callorhinchidae.